Long non-coding RNA from Alosa sapidissima (American shad), 1330 nucleotides. RefSeq lists it as uncharacterized. NCBI's taxonomy places the organism in Eukaryota, Metazoa, Chordata, Actinopteri, Clupeiformes, Clupeidae. The record is from RefSeq and is a predicted model, not a curated record. The transcript has 3 exons.
CACACAUGCAACAUAAUCAUCACUCCUUUUUUUUGUUUCACCGUGUGAACUCUCAGCUGCAAGAGGUGUAAACCUUGAGUCAUUAUGAGCAGACUAUCCUCUCCUUUCACUCCCCUCGGUUUGUUUGUUAGCAAUAUUACAUGAAAACUUCUGCCCUGAUUUUCAUGCAGCUUGGUGUAGCACAGGCCAACUAAGAAUCCAUUACACUUUGGAACAAAUCGGACUUGAAGAUGCAAUAUUGCACUGUUUUCCUUUUGCUUUCACUCCCAUUGUGAGAUACUGGUGCUAUGACUGUGGAGGUGGCCACUCUCUCUCGAGUCCAAGCUAGAGAACAGCAUGUGCUGUACAAACAAGGUUUUCUUCAGUCCGAUUUCUUCCGUUUUCUUCAGCCUGACGAGCCAAAGCUAAAUUAUUAGGUGGUGGACUGUGCCACUGCUUUGCCACAGCGUCUAACAUCUCUGCCAGUGUUCAGCGGCAUUUACAGCAUUUUGACAGCAUUCAGCCUCCAUUUAUUAUUUCCUUCCCCCUUAUUCGUCUCCAUGGGCUACAAACCAGGAAAUGACUUCAAUCAAUCAUUCCGUGGGGUGAGCGAGACGAGACUUCAUUAGGUCAACAACUGAACUGGGACACAGAUCGUCAUCCCCUCCAUUAUGUUUGUGUUUUUGCUGUUGCCUUCCAAUGCCCUGUCAUACAAAUGACAAGAAGAUUGCAGCACUUGAUACAUCACGGAGACUUGGGAAUGACCAGAGAGCCACUCACCUACCAGUGCACUGCACAAGAUUUAUAGUUUGCACCAUAUUCUCCUCCAGAAGAGAGAGUUUCUAGAAUCGUUGCUGUUCCUCCCGUCAGUGCCGUGUCCAGACUCCAUUCUGACCUCUAUCGUCCUGUCCUGACCUCUACUAUGUGGACGGCUCAUUACCCAGGAAGGUGUGUCCACUCAGCAGACAACGAGGCUGUUUCUUUAACACGGACGACAGGACAGAGAAACGCUGAUGGCUGAAACUCUCUAUGUACGCAUCCCCUCGUGCUUUUUUUAAACCUCAGUCUUCCACGCUGUCUUUCUGUCUCUCCAUCUCACUGCUUCUCUGCCUAACGCUGGAAAAGAUAAAGGUGCUAAAAACGGUUCUUCAGAGAGAUGCCACAGAGGAAUCUUCUGCACUGCUUCAAAGAAUCUAUAACCUGAUACAGUUCUCAAAAUAAAUAUUUCAGUACCCUUAUGGCUUGGCUUAUGCCUUAUAUGGCUUGUGUCUGUCUGUAUGUCUCACUGUCUGUCUGUCUAUCUCCUUGUCACAUGUCUAUCUGAUUCUCCUCUUCUCUGUAUUUCCCCACU